GGUGAACGCUGGCGGCGUGCCUAAUACAUGCGAGUCGAGCGAACGGACGAGAAGCUUGCUUCUCUGAUGUUAGCGGCGGACGGGUGAGUAACACGUGGAUAACCUACCUAUAAGACUGGGAUAACUUCGGGAAACCGGAGCUAAUACCGGAUAAUAUUUUGAACCGCAUGGUUCAAAAGUAAAAGACGGUCUUGCUGUCACUUAUAGAUGGAUCCGCGCUGCAUUAGCUAGUUGGUAAGGUAACGGCUUACCAAGGCAACGAUGCAUAGCCGACCUGAGAGGGUGAUCGGCCACACUGGAACUGAGACACGGUCCAGACUCCUACGGGAGGCAGCAGUAGGGAAUCUUCCGCAAUGGGCGAAAGCCUGACGGAGCAACGCCGCGUGAGUGAUGAAGGUCUUCGGAUCGUAAAACUCUGUUAUUAGGGAAGAACAUAUGUGUAAGUAACUGUGCACAUCUUGACGGUACCUAAUCAGAAAGCCACGGCUAACUACGUG
Molecule: ribosomal RNA, 497 nt
Filed under: uncultured bacterium
Lineage: Bacteria
Description: partial 16S ribosomal RNA
Rfam family: Bacterial small subunit ribosomal RNA
Source: RNAcentral